UUUUUUUUUUUUUAGGUCCACACCCCUGGCAUAUGGAAGUUCCCAGGCUAGGGAUGGAAAUGGAGCUGCAGCUGCCAGCCUACACCACAGCCACAGCAAUGUGGCAUCCAAGCCACAUUUGUAACCUACACCAAAGCUCAUGGCAAUGCUGGAUCUUUAAUCCACUAAAUGAGGCCAGGGAUUAAACCUGUGUCCUCAUGGAUACUAGUCAGAUUUGUUACCACUGAGUCACAACAGGAACUCCAAGAAACUAACUUUAAAUCUCCUUAAAAGGGACUUUGCCAGGUCCUCCUCAUUAUCCAUAUGACAGUCAGACUUCAGGGAUUUGAUGCACAUCUCAUAGUUGGAAAAGGCCCCACCUGACACCUGGCCUUAUACAAACACUGGAGACCUCCAAAUUGCACUGAUGAGGAAAAGAAGUAGCUCACAUGGAUGUAGACUGCUACUUCCCAAGGUGCUAGAUCCAGACACCUACUUCAGCUAAACAUGAAACACUUUCUUCUUUUGAUUCUUUGCUUUACUCUGACAUUGGCCUAGAAAGCUAAUGCCAUCCAUAUAUAUGUCCUAGGGCACUUCUAAGGGAGGUACUCUUUUAGAAUGCUGGAUUUGUUAUCAAAGAUUUCAACCCAUCCAUAAUCAUCUAGAUCAGAUUUUCCCUCACUGGAUUCUCACCAGUACCCAUCUUUGUAAGCUAUUUAGGAUUACUAUUUCAGGAUAGGAGACUCCCUUCCAUAUAUACUAAAAACCUGACUGACCCCUGGUUUGAUUGAGCAAAUGCAAUUAAUUCUUGAGAAAGAAUCCAUUAACAGUACUACCUUUGUGGAAGUAGCUUGUGCUCUAUGAGAUGUGUCCUUGUCUGUGGUAGUUAUUCUCCUCGGUACUACAAAUGCUUAAAUGAUCAGCACAUAACCAGAUAAUGCCUCUUAGGUUACUUAACUUUGCCCCAAACUGUUCUAGAAAGAACCUACCAAGAGGCUUUUCAUGAUUCAGGGUUCACUGUCUUUGGCAGGGCUCUAUUACCCUUAGGAGAAAUGUAAAUGAAGCUAUAAUCAGGAACCUUUCCUUAACUCAGAAACACUGCAGAUUCCUUUGCUAAGACACUAGCUUCCCAAGAAAAAUCCUUAGACUCUCUGGCCAAAGUCAUUCUUGACAAUAGAAUUGCUCUUGAUUAUCUUCUAGCUGAGCAAGGAAGUAUCUGUGCUGUGGCCAUCACCACAUGCUGUACCUAGACUGAUACUUCUGGAGAAGUUGAAACUCAGUUAUAUAAGAUCAUUGAGCAAGUCACUUAGAUUGAAAAGGUGACUCUCUAAGGGAGUUUUUCUUUGAUUUGGGUCUUGGGAACUAUUUCAAACAUUAGGAAUUACUCUGCUUAUCAUUAUCAUAAUAAUUUCUCUAAUGUUAAUUCUCUCAAAAGCUUUAAAUGCAUGUUGCAGCCAAUAACUUCCAAGCAAAUGACAUCCCUCAGACUGAAGUACUGAAGUAUCAGAAAAGGAAGGAAGAGAAUAAUUGACUUAAAAAUUGUCAAAACUGAAGUUGUGGCCUAUGAAUAUCACAGGGAUUUUACCACACUAAAGAGCAACAAAGCUGCAGAGCAGUAGCUAAGAGUGUUGCUAGUGACUUAAAAUAUGAUCACAUCCUUCAGUUAGGCAGAGAGUCUGAUCAAAAGGGGGAAAUAAUAAGAGAAAACCACAAACUCAAAAUGGUAUUACUUGUGGUAAAGCCCAUGAUACCAAACCUAGAUUUAACACCUAACCUAAGUGCAGUUUUAGCCUUCCAUAGAAGUGUAAUCUUUAAAUUUUUUUUUUUUAAUUUUACAGCUGCACCUGCAGCAUAUGUAAGUCCCUGGGCUAGGGAUGGAAACAGAGCUGCAGCUGCAGGCCUAUGCCACAGCUGCAGCAACAUCAGAUUCAAGCCAAAUCUGCAACCUGUGAUGCAGCUCAUGGCAGUGCAGGAUCCUUAGUGCACUGAGUGAAGCCAGGGAUUUAACUUGCAUUCUCAUAGAGACAACACUGGGUUCUUAAGCAGCUAAGCCACAGUGGGAACUCCUAGGAGUAUAAUCUUUUGUUUUGUUUUGUUUUGUUUUUGUUUUUGCUUUUUACUCAAAUGAAUUUAUCACAUCUGUAGUUGUAUAAUGAUCAAAACAAGCCAAUUUCACAGGAUUUCCAUCCCAUAACCCAAGCACAUCCCCCCACCCCCAAACUGUCUCCUCCAGAGACCAUAAGUUUUUCAAUGUCUGUGAGUCAGCAUCUGUUCUGCAAAGAAGUUCAAUCUGCCCUUUUUUCAUAUUCCACAUGUCAGUGAAAGGAGCAAUCUGCAUGAUAAAACCCUUGCCAAUCCCUUCACCCUCAAAAGAAGCCCUACUCAAAAGAACUUUUUCCUUUCUUUUGCAAAUAGUUCCCUUGCCCUAUCCUUCUUCCCAUUUUUAUGCACCAAUCAGACUGCACUUCUAGCAGCUAGACCAGGAUGCUGCCUAAUUCAUGAAUUGCCUAAUAAAACCAAUUAUAUCUUCAAAUUUACUCAUUUGAAUUUUUAAUACCUCUUAUCUAUAUCUAUAUCUUGUUGGUUCUGUUUCUGUGGAGAACACUGCCUACUAUAGGAAAUAAGACAGUGAUGUGCACCAGCAUGGUAACAAUAGAGUUGUAGAAAGAGGUUGGAUUCUGGAUAUAUUCUGAGGCUGAGAAAAUAAUAUUUGCUACUGGUUAGAAUGUGGGUGUGAGCUGAAUAAAAGAGACAGGUCACAUUUGAUUCAGAGGUUUUGGAGAGAGCAAAUGAAAGAAUAAAGUUACCAUUUACUGAAAUGGAAAGCCUGAAUAAGAAUGAGGUGAUAAAGAACUCGAUUUCACACAUAUUAAGCUUGAUAUGCUACUGAACGUCCAAGUCAGACUGAGUUGUCAGUUGGAUAGAAAAACCUAGAAUUCAGGGGAGAGUAUACAGCUGAAGAUAGACAUUUUGAAGUCAUUGACUUUAUAGCUAUGGCCUUUCGAGAUCACUCAGGAAGUGAGAAUUGAUAAGUGAAAAUAGUCUGAGCCCAAGGACUCUCCAAAAGUUAGUGAGGUUAGGAAAAUGGGGAGCAUUCCGGGGGAAAAAAAAGACUGAGAAGGAUCAUCAGUGAGGUAAGUAGGAAAGCAAUACAGAGACCAAGAAAGAUAUUCAAAAGAGAGGCAAUAAAGGAGCAGAUCGAGUUGUCUUGACAGGUGAAGAUAAUGGUGACAGAGGGUUUUCUCUUGGAUUUGGAAAUGUAGAGAUAACUGGUGACCAGCCCAAGGGCAGUGCCUGUGAAGAAGUAGAUACAAAAGCCUGACUGGAAUCAUUCACGGGAGAUACUAUGCUGUUUAUGAAAACUAUAUGGAUAAAGCUGCUAAUUAAAAAGGUCAGGAAUGAUAUAUACAAAAUGUAAGACAGUGUUAACAUUUUCUCUAAGGAAAGCAAUGGAAUGGGAUAGAAAGGAACACAGGAUCAUAUGAACAGAGCUGGUAAUAUUAAAGUUCUUAAAUUGGGUUAUUUGGCUUCAUAAGAUAAAAUGUGUUGCAUGCUGCCUUCUGGAUCAAACAAAGGUAACAGAAUUGAAAUUUAAUAUGAAUAAAGGGGAUGGGUAGAACUGGAAUCGGUGGUCCUAGACUGCUCUUUUGAAGCAUAUAUGUAAGGAAAUGGGCUAGAGGUUGAAGGUUGUAUAAAAUUAAUGUCUUUUUUGCCUUGGUUUUAAGAAGAUACAUAUUAAAUUAUGUCUCUAUGCAGUUGGGGAUGUAGACGGGGGAAAGCGAUGAAGAAAGACAGAGAGAGAUGGUAGAAUCAGGGCUUUAGGUGCUAGAAUCCUGACCUCCUGACUGGGCAUUGUCAAGAGUCACACUGCCUAUUUUCCAUUACUGCUUGUCCCUGUUGGGCUUUAUGCUGUAGUAAAUGGCUUUUUCCAAGAUGGUAAUGAUCAGCCAUGUGAUAUCUUAACAUCUUCCCAAUUUACAAACUUGGUAAAAAGAAAGAGAAAUGUCUCCUCUCAACUUUUGUAUAGCAAUUCCAGGAAGAAUUCUGUCUCUGCUUGAAUAGUAGUCAUUGAUGGCUAAACCUAAGUUGCAUGUCUACAUCUGUUGUUAGGCAAUAGUAUCUAUUAAAAGAAUAUAUCUUGUGCUGAGCAGACCACUAUAAUUAAUUAACCCAGUCUUCUAUAAUCAUUGAAUAAUUUCUAAAACAAAUAAAACCCCCAACUAUUUAUGAAAAUAUCAGGGAUUAAUAACAGAUGUGGCUGGGAAAACUAAGAAAGGAAUUCAUCCUUUCACCUUCCAAAGUGUGUAUUCUUUUUAAAUUUUGUAUUGUUUUCUUCACUAAGGGGACUGAGGGUUGACAUGGAGAUUCUUUUUUCAUUGGAAACUCUGUUUACUUAUAAGAACAUGUCGCAGAUGAAGGUAGGGUUUUCAAAGAACUGUAGGGAGAAAUAUUUUGGAAUCUAUCUGAAGAGAAUAGCACAGAGACUUUGGGAGAAUCCAGACUGUUGUACUGGGGCCAAGAAGAGAAAAACAAAGUGAUUUCAAUGGGUAUGUGUGGCAGUAUCUUAGAAAGAUAUAUUUAUUAAGAAAGAAUGGAGUUGCCUACUGGUGUGCUAGUAGUUAAGGAUCCAGCAUUGUUACUGCUGUGGCUUGGGUUUGAUCCCUGAUGUGGGCAUGGCCAAAAAAAAAAAAAAAAAGGGAAAAGAUGUAUGUGUGCACACACACACACACACAUAUACAUACACACACAUAUAUAAACAUAUAUAGAUACAUACAUAUAUAUAUAUAUAAGAAAUGAGGAGAAAUUUAAUCUAGAGAAUGACUUUGAUUUAGAUUCUUUUUAAUACCAUUUGAUUUCCCAUUGAUCACGGGCACAAAGACAGAAAAGAUUUUCCUUUUGAAGCAGUUCGGAUCUAAGCAUCUUAGUUUUCUCAGAGCCAAAUAAUAGCUUUUACCUCAGACCAAAACGGCUAAAAAGUUAGUUAUGAAACUGAUACAGGAAAUGUGUCUGAUCCUCCAGAAUCCAUUUUCUCAAUGCCAGUAGAAUCUUAUUUGAAUUGUGUGUAUAUUCACAGGAAAAUUCACAAUAGCUACUUCCUAUCUUUGCCAUUUGCCAGCUUUGCAUGGCUAGAGACUGCCCCAUGAUAUCUCCCAGCUCCUCCUCUUUUCCUGCCUCCCCUGUUUCCUGGUACCCACUCUAUCCCAGUUUACUCUGUUCUCUCCCAUCCCUUUCCUUAACUGCACUUGCUCCAUGAGUUUGUUUUCACUAACACUAUCAUGUUAGUGUUGCAACUAACAAGCUUUGCAACUUUCUAAAGGUUACAACCUGCAGCAAAGGAUUAAUAACAUGAUUGGAAACAAAACUGUAGUAACUGAAGGGAGAAAAAGGAAGCCCAACUACUCAUGGAAAUGGUUUAGUAAACUAAAACUAUGAUCAGGUUUGGACUGCCAAGAAAUGUGCUAGUCCCCAGAUAUUAUAGUUUUGAAUUGUGAGUACAAGUCUCUAGGUUAACUCCAGGAUCUAUGAAUUGGACAGACAAUGUUGGUGGGAUAAACAGAAAAUGGAUGUAAGUAUAAGACAAAACAGUCAAGUGCUUUAGGUUCCCAAAAGGUUUCCCAGUCUGAUAGACACACACCAUACCAUAGGUACUCUCCUCUCAGAAAGUGAGCUGAUGGCCCUGUAGCUUGCAUUGUAAACAAUUAUUAUGGACUCUUCUUUUGCUUAUACUCCACUCUUCAUGAGGUUCUCUCUGCUAACACCUUCAUUAGAUGGCAAAGGCUUUAAGCUAAUAUAUCUUGUUCCCAUCCAUUGCAAAAUGCUACUGUUUAUUUUUCCCAUAAUGCUGCUUUUGUAAUGACACCAGACUAUGAGAUGUUGGGGGUGGGGAAGGAGAAAUGAGACAAGAAAGGGAAAGGUCACAAAUUUUAAGCCAUGUGGGAUUUUUUAUUGUUAUGUUUGAGGUGUGUUCAGCACAGAGACAAAUUGUACAUUUACCGCAAGUCACCGGGACCUAAUGAGCUCCUAAUGUGUCCCAUACUUCAAGGUUUUUCAGAACAGGCCAGUAACUUAGCAACCACAGCUAAACCUUGACAGGAAUAAUCAUUAUUUGUGUUGCAGCUUCAGGCUUCCCCACGAUGGGUUUCUUUUUCUCUUUUUUCUUUCCUGUUGUUUUUUCAAAAGGACCCCAGAACCAGGCAGAAAAAGCUAAGGCUUGGAAGGGAGAAUUUCUCUCCUGCUGCUUUAGGUCAUAAAUGGCAUUGCUGAAACAUAAUCCUGGAGUUAAGAAUUACUUUCCAGAGACACUAAGGAAGGCAACGGGAAAAAGGCCAGGUAGUCAUUACAGGUGGGUGCUAGGUAGGUUGCCCACCUCAGCAUGUAUGAAUUCAACAUUUGCAGUUUGUGCAAUUCACAAAUCACUACAAAAUUCUGUAUAAAAUGGCUUAGUACUGCUGUGGUAUAAGUUUGUGACAUAAACUCUUCACCAAUAGCCAGGUGCAUGAUCACUGAGUGAACCUAGGUGACUGUCCAGCAUAUUUACUGCAGUCCAUGUCAGUUAUUCUCUACAGAAGC
This 6549-nucleotide long non-coding RNA is filed under the name Sus scrofa (pig). Its description in RNAcentral is "lncRNA (ENSSSCG00000057371.1)". Lineage: Eukaryota; Metazoa; Chordata; Mammalia; Artiodactyla; Suidae. The record is from RNAcentral.